This 62-nucleotide transfer RNA is filed under the name Cassida circumdata. RNAcentral describes it as "tRNA-Asp". The record is from RNAcentral. Lineage: Eukaryota; Metazoa; Arthropoda; Insecta; Coleoptera; Chrysomelidae.
AAAAAUUUAGUUAAUUUAUAACAUUGGUUUGUCAAACCAAAAUUAUUGAAAAAUAAUUUUUU